CAGCUACUCAGGAGGCUGAGGUGGGAGAAUCAGCUGAGCCCGGGAAGUAAGCUGAGAUUGCGCCACUGCACUCCAUCCUGGGUGAUGGGGUGUGAAACCCUGUCUCAAAACACACCGUGCCCAGCCUUUUUCUACUCCUUAGUGUUUUUUUCUUCCCCACUCUGUCCUGUUUUAUGAGCUGACUCUGUGCAGGGCACAAGGGAUGAGGCUGCCUCUUAUCACACUGCAGCCCCUUGGCUGUUUACCUUUCUACUUGUUUACCUUUUAUUUUGUCAACUGUCAGAGAUCUGAGGAACCAAAAGUCCUGAAAAGAUGGUCACCUUACUCCAGGGAAGGAGAGGGUUUGUCCUGUUCAGACCCUGGAAAGGGAAGGUGCCAUUUCAGGCUUUCAUGUUCUCAGCUCCCACAGCAUCUUCCUCCCAGUAACGCUUUUCUCUGGAACACAGUUUUUCAUAAUAACUUCUAUGUACAAAAUCUUUGAUCCUCAAUCAAAAGACACGGGAUCAGCUCUGGCUUUGCCACUUACAAGCGUGACUUUCCACAGAUGAGACUGCUCUGAGAUUGUUUCUUCAUCUGUAGAGUGGAUGGCACAUGGGCUACUUGAAAGGGAUAUGAUACAGAUCAAGAGAGGAUAUAUGGGAGCACUUUGUACAAGUGUAUAAAUAGCAGAGGGAUUGACGUCAUCGUCAUCUCAAUCUUAAAGAUUAGGAGACAAACUCAGGGAAGUGCGUAGUGACUUGCCCAGGUUCUCCUAGCGAGUACAUAGUAAGCUGGAAUGUGAAUGCAGGUGUGAGAUUCCAAGUCGUGGCUCUUUUUCCUAUCCCUCUCUGCCUUGGAUGCUUGGUGCAGGAAGAAGCUUGCCUUGGGUAUGGAAGGGUUGUCCCUGUGCUCCUCAUUGAGACCCAUGUGGAUCCUUAGUGACUGGUCCAAUAGGGAGCUGGGGUUGGCUUUCUCUUUUGCAGAGACAGGAUAGUGUGGCAGCCCAUUUCAUUCGCUGGGUUAUUUAUUAAGUGCCUUUUAUGUGUCAAGCCCUGGAGAUCUCACAAUGCUGUCCCUCAGGGAGCUUCAGUUUAGAAGAUCUAAUUGUUGGUGCCCAUUUCCCCUGGACCUGUUGGGUAAUUUCCUCUGACUUUCAAGUCUCAUUUCCCUCUUCAGUUCAGAAGUCUAAG
Molecule: long non-coding RNA, 1169 nt
Filed under: Homo sapiens (human)
Lineage: Eukaryota; Metazoa; Chordata; Mammalia; Primates; Hominidae
Description: LNC_000094
Source: RNAcentral